RNAcentral lists this long non-coding RNA (394 nucleotides) under Helianthus annuus (common sunflower). RNAcentral's name for it is "hypothetical non coding rna". The record is from RNAcentral. Lineage: Eukaryota; Viridiplantae; Streptophyta; Magnoliopsida; Asterales; Asteraceae.
UUGUUAUGACAUUUUCAUGGAACAAACAAACUGCCCCACCAAUCCUCCUUCCUUCCUUAUGCCCCUCUAGCUGCAGGUUCGCUCGCUUGUAUUACUUGUUAUCCUCUUGAACUCGCAAGGUCCCGUAUGCAGGCAUUUAAAGAUGGUAAAAGGCCUCCUGGAGUCUGGAGGACCUAUCAUCUCCACAAGCAGAAGAAGCACCCCUGGAAACCCAAUGUUGAUUAAUGCCGGUUGGUUUGGAACAGAGACGGAGGAGUGAGGGGACUUACUAUUCAUGGGAGUUGGGCCUCGUGUUGGACGUGCAGGCCCCUCAGUUGCUAUUGUAGUGUCUUCUUAUGAAGUCAAGUAUGUAUUACAAAAUAGAAAAACAUCUCAACCUUAGUUUCUUUAAUUA